Molecule: ribosomal RNA, 420 nt
Filed under: uncultured Bacteroides sp.
Lineage: Bacteria; Pseudomonadati; Bacteroidota; Bacteroidia; Bacteroidales; Bacteroidaceae
Description: bacterial SSU rRNA
Rfam family: Bacterial small subunit ribosomal RNA
Source: RNAcentral
GAGGAAUAUUGGUCAAUGGGCGCGAGCCUGAACCAGCCAAGUAGCGUGAAGGAUGACUGCCCUAUGGGUUGUAAACUUCUUUUAUAAGGGAAUAAAGUGAGGCACGUGUGCCUUAUUGUAUGUACCUUAGGAAUAAGCAUCGGCUAACUCCGUGCCAGCAGCCGCGGUAAUACGGAGGAUGCAAGCGUUAUCCGGAUUUAUUGGGUUUAAAGGGAGCGUAGGCGGACUAUUAAGUCAGCUGUGAAAGUUUACGGCUCAACCGUGAAUUGGAGUUGAAAAUGGUCGUCUUGAGUGCAGGUAAGGUGGGGGGGAAUCGUGGUGUAGCGGUGAAAUGCUUAGGUAAUAACAAAAAAUCCAAUUGCGAAGGCAGCUCACUGGAGUGUAACUGACGCUGAUGCUCGAAAGUGUGGGUAUCAAACA